GACGAACGCUGGCGGCGUGCUUAACACAUGCAAGUCGAACGGUGAAGCGCCUUCCUUUUUGGUGGGUGUGGAUGAGUGGCGAACGGGUGAGUAACACGUGAGUAACCUGCCCCCUUCUUCUGGAUAACCGCAUGAAAGUGUGGCUAAUACGGGAUAUUCUGGGUCUGUCGCAUGAUGGGUCUGGGAAAGAUAUUGUUUCGGUGGGGGAUGGGCUCGCGGCCUAUCAGCUUGUUGGUGGGGUGAUGGCCUACCAAGGCGGUGACGGGUAGCCGGCCUGAGAGGGUGGACGGGCACACUGGGACUGAGACACGGCCCGGACUCCUACGGGAGGCAGCAGUGGGGAAUAUUGCACAAUGGGCGCAAGCCUGAUGCAGCGACGCCGCGUGAGGGAUGGAGGCCUUCGGGUUGUGAACCUCUUUCGCCAGUGAAGCAGGCCUGCCUCGUUUGUGGGUGGGUUGACGGUAGCUGGAGAAGAAGCGCCGGCUAACUACGUG
This 494-nucleotide ribosomal RNA is filed under the name uncultured bacterium. RNAcentral describes it as "partial 16S ribosomal RNA". It matches the Rfam family "Bacterial small subunit ribosomal RNA", at positions 28 to 507 of the family's 1533-position model. The record is from RNAcentral.